Molecule: ribosomal RNA, 595 nt
Filed under: Cornudiscoides agarwali
Lineage: Eukaryota; Metazoa; Platyhelminthes; Monogenea; Dactylogyridea; Ancylodiscoididae
Description: bacterial SSU rRNA
Rfam family: Eukaryotic small subunit ribosomal RNA (bases 1-367)
Source: RNAcentral
GGAUUUGCUCUAUUCUACUACACGGAUAACUGUAGUAAUUCUAGAGCUAAUACGUGCCUCGAUGCCCUGAUCCGCAAGGUGAGGGGUGCACUUAUUAGAUUACAGACCAAACGGCGCAAGCCGUAGUUUGUGGUGACUCUGGAUAACUUUGUAUGAUCGCAGCUGGCCUUGUUGUCGGCGACGGAUCCAUCAAAUAUCUGCCCUAUCAACUUUCGAUGGUAGGAGACAUGCCUACCAUGGUUAUGACGGGUAACGGGGAAUCAGGGUUCGAUUCCGGAGAGGGAGCCUGAGAAACGGCUACCACAUCCAAGGAAGGCAGCAGGCGCGUAAAUUACCCACUCUCUGAACGAGGAGGUCGUGAAGAUAAAUUGGGGAUAAAGCUCAAUGAGAUUGCGGCGCCACCCCCGAGGCUACCUCCGCCGCAACCCGCUCCGCUCUCUAGGGCUGACCAUAAAUAAUUGCCCCCACUAGUGAGGGGGGGGCUGCCCCCACCGUUUGGGGACAGUGAUAUACGGGCCGUGUCCUCGGCUCUCAAGAUAUUCAUUUACAAAAUAAGCUAUGCUUUACAAACCCUCUCUUGAGAUGGUGAGAUCUG